AACGGCUCCGACAGUGAGGGACGAAAGCUGGGGAGCAAACCGGAUUAGAUACCCGGGUAGUCCCAGCCGUAAACGAUGCGCGUUAGGUGUAUCGGUGACCACGAGUCACCGAGGUGCCGAAGAGAAAUCGUGAAACGUGCCGCCUGGGAAGUACGGUCGCAAGGCUGAAACUUAAAGGAAUUGGCGGGGGAGCACCACAACAGGUGGAGCCUGCGGUUUAAUCGGACUCAACGCCGGAAAGCUCACCGGAUAAGACAGCUGAAUGAUAGCCGGGUUGAAGACUCUGCUUGACUAGCU
This 297-nucleotide ribosomal RNA is filed under the name uncultured Methanomicrobiales archaeon. RNAcentral describes it as "partial 16S ribosomal RNA". It matches the Rfam family "Archaeal small subunit ribosomal RNA", at positions 684 to 981 of the family's 1478-position model. Lineage: Archaea; Methanobacteriati; Methanobacteriota; Methanomicrobia; Methanomicrobiales. The record is from RNAcentral.